This 580-nucleotide ribosomal RNA is filed under the name uncultured delta proteobacterium. RNAcentral's name for it is "bacterial SSU rRNA". It matches the Rfam family "Bacterial small subunit ribosomal RNA", at positions 346 to 916 of the family's 1533-position model. The record is from RNAcentral. Lineage: Bacteria; Deltaproteobacteria.
AGGCAGCAGUGGGGAAUUCUGCGCAAUGGGCGAAAGCCUGACGCAGCAAUACCGCGUGAGUGAUGAAGGCUCUUGGGUCGUAAAGCUCUGUCAGAGGGGAAGAACCUCCUGUCGUUUAAUAUGCGGCAGGCCUGACGGUACCCUCAAAGGAAGCACCGGCUAACUCCGUGCCAGCAGCCGCGGUAAUACGGAGGGUGCAAGCGUUGUUCGGAAUUAUUGGGCGUAAAGAGCAUGUAGGCGGCUCGCCAAGUCUGAUGUGAAAGCCCUGGGCUCAACCCAGGAAGUGCAUUGGAAACUGGCGAACUUGAGUACGGGAGAGGAAAGUGGAAUUUCGAGUGUAGGGGUGAAAUCCGUAGAUAUUCGAAGGAACACCAGUGGCGAAGGCGGCUUUCUGGACCGAUACUGACGCUGAGAUGCGAAAGCGUGGGGAGCAAACAGGAUUAGAUACCCUGGUAGUCCACGCCGUAAACGAUGGGUACUAGGUGUUGCGGGUAUUGACCCCUGCAGUGCCAAAGCUAACGCAUUAAGUACCCCGCCUGGGGAGUACGGCCGCAAGGCUAAAACUCAAAUGAAUUGACGG